CAUGUGAAUGUCACAUUAGAGAGAGCAAAGUAAUGAUAAGACUUCAAGGAAGAUACAUAUAAGAAAAGAAACAAGACUUGGGAUAAACUCAGAGGGAUAACUACAAAAUCACACCAGAUGAGAAAAAGAAAAUUUGUUCACAUGCUGAAUGAACAAUUGUAUUGAAACCCCAGCAAAUUAAGAGGAACAUAGGCAUAGAAGAUAUUGUUCACAUGAUGAAUGAAUAGUAGAAGCACCAGCUGAUUAAGAGGUAUAACACAGGCAUAAGAAGCUGAACUUCAGUAAGACAACUCAAAUAAAACUAAUCUGAUUCAGCUAGACUAAAGUCCAGAAAGAAAAUACAAUAGAGUUCAGAGACUUAUCUAAAAAGAGGAAACAGAAUAGGGUUCAGAGAAGAAAUUAAAACUCGAGGAAUAGACAAAACUUGGAAGAUAAGAUACAACACAAAGAGACCAGGAGAGAUAUAUACAUCUAAGCAAAUGUGUAAGUAGAAAUUCCAUGUUCAUUUAGCUAUCUCCACUGGCUAUAAAGAUUUACAGCAAAAAGUCUCUGUGAGGUCAGUAGGCUAAACCAAAAUUGACGCGAAAUUAAAAAGGAAUAGGUGACAUGAUUAACUUUGUUAAUGAUAGAUAUCAAUUAAAGGUUAGGAUCAUACCAUGACUACCACGUAAUAAAAUCUCCUCGUUACUCUUUAACCAUGAAAACACAACAAAAACAGCUGCUGUUUCAUGUGAGAUAUGCAGAAUAAGUUGACCUUUUCUUCAUACGUAGUGGAGGGUAGAAAGUUAGAAAAAAUCACAACAGACUGCAAAUACUACAUUCUACCUCCUGACAACUUUGAUUGACAACAACAACAACCCAGUAUAAUCCCACUUAGUGGGGUCUGGGGAGCGUAGUGUGUACGCAGACCUUACCCUACACUGUGGUAGAGAGGCUGUUUCCAAAUAGACCCCCGGCAUCCUUCCCUCCAAGAACUUCCCACCUUGCUCUUGGGGAGACUCGAAUUCACAACCUCUCGGUUGGAAGUGGGGGUUGCUUACCAUGAGAGCUAACCCCUCUUAUCUAACAACUUUAAUUGACAGAUUAACCAAAAGUGAUCGCUAGCCAUUUUCCGAUUUCUAGAACGAUAAACCCACAUCAACGUGAGUCUCUGAUGGGAAGCAUUAACUCAGAAACAAGUCAAAGCAAAGUAUCAGACGUAUCUAGAGCUAACAUCCGCAAUUAGAUAGACUUAACCCAGACCAGCACAGCAAUUAUAUUGCGUUGUAGCAUAUAUCGAUGCAAAUAGAGCAAUCAUCACAUCCAUUGGGAAAAAUAAUAAUUAACAAUAUAACAAGUUAGAGUUAAUACUGAUACCAUGUAAGCAGUUCAGAGAGUUAAAGAAGGAAAUUUAAACACCAAACUCAAAUCAAUACAAGGAUAAUUA
Molecule: long non-coding RNA, 1426 nt
Filed under: Nicotiana benthamiana
Lineage: Eukaryota; Viridiplantae; Streptophyta; Magnoliopsida; Solanales; Solanaceae
Description: long non-coding RNA (NBEN_LNC007548)
Source: RNAcentral